UCAGCUUUAUCACUGAUAGCUCUUAUAUUGGAGUCAGUGGUUCUAUAUGUGUGGAGAAUCGCAGGUUGUAAGAGAAUUAAUUUCCCAAGAAAUACAUCUUAAAGGGUGCAGCUGGACUCCAGGAAAUUUGCCACCUGGCCUGCCAGACAGAAGUGUUCAAUGUGAUCACAAGUGCCUUGUCCACUAAAAGCCUCUCGAGACUUCUGAUUAUAAGUCAAACUUACGCGGAAUCCAGGAUUUCUGUCUGCUUGGUGCUGCUUGUAGUUCAGAAUUUCUGACUUUCUUACUGCUUGGAUGCCUGUUUGCCUAUUGCACUAAGAUGACCGAUGUCACCAGCAUCUCUAGGAAGUGAAUGCUUGGUAUGGUUAUCUUGUUGUCAUGACAAGAUUGAAACUAAUUUUAUGUUUAAAAAAUUAGUCAGAGCCACAUAUUGUAUGAUUCCAUUUAUAUGAAAUGUCCAGGGUAGGUAAAUACGUCGAUACAGAAAGUAGAUCAGUGGCUGCCUAGGGUCUGGGGAGUUUGGAGGGGAAAUCAGAAUGGCUGCUUAUGGGUAUGGGGUUUUUUUCUGCAGGGGGGUGAGGAAAUUUCCAAAAUUCUUUGUGGCAAUGGUUGCACAACUUUGUGUAUAUACAGAAAACCACUGAGUCACACAUUUUAAAUGGGUGGAUAGUAUGGAAUGUGAAUUGUAUCUCAAUAAAACAGGAAAUACGGAGGCAGCACUGGGGGGGGUGUGUGUACAGGAAUUUGUUCCAGUGAAAGAGAUAAACCACCUUCUAUUACUGAAGGAGUAGUCUGGUCUCUUAGCCUAUUUACCAUAUAUAUAUAUAUAUAUAUAUAUAUAUACACAUACACACACACACACACACACACACACACACACAUAUAGUUUCUAUUUGGGGCCUUUUUAUAGUCUUAUUAUUGUUAGUGAGAAACUUUUUAAGUCAAAAACCACUUGGUUACAGUGAGGCCUUGGUUACAGCUUUCCUUUGUUUUCAAUCAAAAAUAAACAUGACUAAUGUCACCAUGGUUCAGCUCAACCACAUGCAUGGAUUCAGGAAGUUUGGGACAUGUGCUAGGAGCUAGCAGAGCUGAUAGGCUGGAGAUUCGGCUUCUUGGAGAGACAGUGGUUGGCCAUACUUGGGCUCCAGAACCAAGAUAUUGGUAAAGGCUGGGCAACUGUCUUCCCCUGACCUGGGGGUCAAAGGUUGCUGUGGAAAGAAACCUGAAGGGAAAGAGAGUUCUCUGGCUUGGUCUGGACAUCCAGGCUGCAAAUGCCUGAGAAGGGCAGAUUUUGAGCCCAACAUUCCCCUAAUUAACUUCCAGCCCAGCACCCCUCUUCCACCUCACCAGCCCCCACCCCAGUCACAGACUUCCAAGAGAAACCAUACCAGGUCAGGGGAACGGUGGGCCCAGGGGGUCUAUGAUGAAAUGACUGCACCAGAGGCAGGUGCAGCAGGAACUCAAGGAUAUGAGCCAAUUCUGCCCUGGCAUGUAGUAACAAGUGUCUGUGUUAGUUGAUUUUAUGUGUCAACUUGGCUGGGCCACUGUGCCCAGGUAUUUGCUCCAAUAUGAUUCUAGAUGUUUCUAUGAGGGUAUUUUGGGCUGAGAUUUACAUUAAAUCAGUGAACUUUUUUUGGGGGGUGUGUCUUUUUCAGACCACACCCAUGAUAUAUAAAAGUUCCCAUGAUAUAUAGGGGUCGAAUCAGAGCUAUAGCUUCCCUCCUACACCACAACCAUAGCAACUUAGGAUCCAAGCUGCGUCUGCUACCUACACCACAGCUCAUGGAAUACCAGAUCCUUAACCCACUGAGCAAGGCCAGAGAUCAAAUCUGCAUCCUCAUGGAUUCUAGUUGGGUUUGUCACCCCGAGCCACAACGGAACUCGCUAAAUCUUUGGAUAAGACUGAAUAAAACAGAUUGCCCUCCUUGGUUUGGGUGGGCCUCAUCCAAUCAGUCAAGGGCCUAAAUAGAACAAAAGGCCAACCUUCCUGGAGCAAGAAGGAAUCCUGCCAGCCGACUGCCCUACCACUUCAUAUGCAGUGUUGGCUGAUCCUGGCUUGCUAGUAGAAUCUGUGGAUUCAAAUCACAACUGUCCCCUGAGUCGCCAGCCUGUUGCUGACCUCCACCAUCAGAAUUUGGACUUGCCAAGCCUCCACAAUGGUGUGAGCCAAUUCUUUAAAUCUUCUUCUCUAUAUAAACACAUCCUAUUAGUUCUGUUUCUCUGGAAAACCCUGACUAAUACAGGGCCACAUUUCUCUCUCUUAAGGAGUGACACUAGCGCUGUGACCUCACCAAGAGGAGAUGAGAAGACUGCAAAACAGGGACAGUUGGUUCCUGAGUAGGAGCUGAGGUUUCAGUGCAGUGACAUAGUGAGCACAGCUGGUGGGAGAGCCACUUGAGCAGCUCUCAUGGUACCUCUAACUGGAGAAGAGGGGAUGCAAGACCCUACUUCUUACCUGUACCCCUGACUGGGGUAGCCUGGAGAAACGUGGGUUCGCUGAAAUCCUUGAGGAAAUCCUGCCUGCCAAGCUGGGGUCUUCAUGUAGAAAGUGCUUCCUAGAGGGAGGAUCAGUCCAGGUUGGCUCUGCAGGCUUGGGAGGAAGGGGUGAUUUCAAAUUUGUGUUCUUUGUGGAAAGCUCAUCCAAUACUCAUUAGGUGUGGGUGGUAACCGAAACGCCCCUAACAAAUAGCAAAUAGCAACUCUGGAAAAUCCUCCUGCAUGCAGGACAAUGCAUGGCAACCAGCAGGGGCUCACACCUUGAAAUAAAUAACAUCCUUUAUGUUACACAUGCUGGCUGCAAACUAUGAACUGCAUUGAAACAUAUAGUCACGUGCAUACUUUGAAUUGUGCUGGUAAAAGGAUGGAAGGAGAAAGGGACCUUGAUAUUUAGGAGGAGAGGAGAAGAGCUCCACGAGGGCAGUUACACAAGAGAAGGUUUGGAAGAGGAAAUGAGGAAGCAGGAGCAAAGCGAAGGCCAAAGUCAACCGAAACAGGAAAAUCAGCCAGAACGUACACUGCUUGGUCUUUGAAGACAUUUCCUUCAAGUCCCACCCUGCUGCAAAGCCUAACAAAGCUGGGACAGCGAGUGCCCUUGCCUUGGGGCCUCUGAGACACACGCUGUCUCUGCUGCUUCUUUGGUACAUGGCAUGGUUUUCUGGAAUCAUAAGUGUUUCUGUACAAAUGCCGUGGUUCUCCAAUUAAAUUUAAAGGCAGCCCCGCCCCCUAUCUUUUUUGAAAUAGUAUAUCCUUAGUGCAAGAAAUAUAACCAGACUAGGAUUUAAGCACAAAAGAAAUUAAUACAGGGAAGUUGGUGCUUAUAAAAGAGUUGGAAGUACUGAGGGAACAAGCAUCUGGGCUGGGGCCUUUGGAAUCUCUCUGAAAAUCCAUAGAACUGAUGCCCAGCCCAGCCCUCCCAGGAGCUAUAACCUUGACCCAGUUUAGGAGCAGGGAGAAUCAGGGGCUGCCCUGAUACUACUGUAUUCAUGAACACACUGCAGCUGUACUUGAAAAAUGUUGAAGUUGGGAUCAGGAACCACCACUGCUGUCAUCGACUAGAAUCUUGAUCAAGCAAGCCAAGAAAAGGAAGCCGACGGCUUUUGCUCUCUGAAACUCGCACAAUCAGUGAGUUGCACAACUACAAGAGCAUCUAGGAGAUGUAAGCUUUCCAGGCUUACACAGAGAGGCACCCCAGGGAGAGGUAGGAAUGGAUGCUCAAUGCCAGUCAAUUUCCCUCACAAGCAGUGCUGAUGACCGGGGUGUUGUCCUUACCCUGGCUCAUGGGCUAUCUUGCGCUGGUUCUGUUCAGCCCUACCCCAAAUCAAAUGCAAGUCUUCUCCUCCCCUACCCCCAUGCCACUAGAUGUCCAGGGCCCCACCUUCCUUCUCAAAAGCUGAUGAACCUUCCAGGAUGAUGGAAGGAGGGACUGUCCAUAUGGAGCAGGGAGAAGGGAGAUCCAACAAUUUCUCCUGCCUGACGGGCAAUGGAGGAAGCCUGGUUGCCACCAAGUGUAGGUCGCUAGACACCUGCCACAAGGCAACCAGCAUAGCCCGCUGGCAUAAGGCACAGAGCUCACUCAGAAGCAGACUGGCACUCAGUCCUGGCCCCUCCUGUCUCUCAUCACUUCCCUCUCAUUCUGUAGCCUGGGGAAUACUUUCCUAAUCUGGGUAAGAAGCUUUGCUUUUACUCCUGAUGUUUUCUGCAUCUGCUGCCUCUGGUCCAUAAGGGCCUAGACCAAUGGUUUUUGAACAUUACCUGUGUCCAAAUCACUUGGAGGGCUUAAGAAGACAGACUGCUGGGCCUCACCCUCAGAAAUACUGAUUCAGGUCUGGGAUGGGGCCCAAGAAUUUGCCUUUCGAACAAGUACCCAGGUGGUACCCAGGUGGUACCCAGGUGAUACUGAUGCUGCUGGUCCGGGGACUGCACCCUAAGAACUUAUGAUUUUACUCCAAGGCUUUUUUUUUUUUUUCUUUAAGGGCCACACCCGCAACAGAUGGAAGUUCCCAGGCUAGGGGUGGAAUCAGAGCUGCAGCUGCCAGCCUACACCACAGUCACAGCAACUCCGGAUCUUUAACUCAUUGAACAAGGUUAGCAGUACACACACAUCCAGUUCCUGGUCUGCCUCUCCCUGCUGUGUGACCCACAGUCUCAUGGAUACUAGUUGGGUUCGUAAAUUGUUGAGUCACAAAGGGAACCCCAGACCAAGUCUACCUUGGAGGACAAAAGGGAGUGAGUCCUGCCUUGCUGAUUUUCCUCCCUCUUCUCUUCCUCUCCCUCCUGGACCUUCAGUCCCUCCCUCACCCCUCUGCUCUCUCAGGUCUUGCUUCUUCCCUCUGUCCGUUCCUGGCUGGCAGCGAAAUGGCUCGAUCCAGUCUUCUCCCAAGUGGAAGAGCCUAAGCUCCUACUUCUGGACCCUGUGCUGAGCCAUGUGUGUCUGACAUCUCAUUUAACCCUCAUGACAAUCUGCAGGAUGGUAUUUUAUCCUCAUUUCACAGACGAGGAAAUGAUGGGUCAGAGAGGUCACACCCCUAGGAGUUGGUGAAUCCAGGAUUUGAGUCCAGUUCUCUUGGAUUCCUGGGCCCUCCCCCACAUGUUCAUGAUUCUGUGUCAUUUUGCGUCCCCCGCAUAGGACCGAGACCUUCCAAAGGAGACCCUCCAUCACGGGAGUGACUCCAUGGAAGAUGCCAGUCUCCAGGCCAAAGCUUUCUGGGACACAUCACUCCCAGCAGGCACUGUGGGACCAUUGUUUCCACCCAGGGAACAUCUUCCCUGGAUGUAUGUUCACUUCAGGGACAUUCUUUCCGAAAAUGAACUUGGUGAGAACUUACGGUUUUACUCCCAAAAAGCCCACAAAAAUUCCGAGCAAACCCCAAAUUGUGUACAUUGUAAGGAGGAAGUAUGUUAUUUUUGGCAAAAAUAGUCUUAGUCUUGCAGUAAGCCUCUAAAAGCAUAAUAAAAGGGGCUUUUAAUAUCCUGUUUUUUCCUCCUUUUGUUGAUUUUUGAGCAUUUCUUCCCAAGCAAGGGGUUAUGCAACAAGGGUUUCAAAGUUGCCAGAUUUUUGUUUUACUGAUAGUUUUCUUUGGUUCCUUUUCUAUGUUCCUCUUCUUUGAACUUUAACCUAGGAAUUGAAGUGACUAUAAAGCUCACUGAAAAUGGCCUACAGACCACACGGGGAUGGAUAACAGUUACCUGGAGCAAAAAGAAAAGCUCUGACAAGCUAACUGCAGGCUAUGAAGUCAUCUAUGGUUCCCUGUCAGUGGGUUUGGCAAGUCUUAAACCUAGGAAUACGGAUCUCUCUGAUACCUGGUCCUUGCCUUUCUUUCUGAACAUCAAAUUUCAGAUCCCUCUGUCUGGGUUUUAAAAGCAUCCCUUCCCCAUUUCCCAUGAAAGCAGAUCUGGUGCAGAGGUUAGCAGUACGCACACAUCCAGUUCCUGGUCUGCCUCUCCCUGCUGUGUGAUCUUGUACAAGUUACUUGACCUCUCUGUGGCUCAAUUUCCUUAUCAUAAAAUGAGGGUGAUAAAGCAUCUAAUUCAUAGGGUUGUCUUACGGGUUGAAUAAGUUCAUACAAAAUUCUUACUUAGAGUCAUCUCUGCUGUGUAGUAAAUGCUCAACUAAAGUUGCUCUUAUUAUGAAAUUGCUUUUGUCUUGUGAUGUAAAUUAAAUCACAAUAUGUGUCUACAUCAAUGAACAUCGUUCUGCUUCUAGAUGGGUAGUGGACUCACAAAGUCCUGGUACUUGUCAAAGAUGGGUGGUAGCAGCAGUUCCUCCAGAACAACUUGCUGCUUCUUCUUUUUAUUUUAAUGGCUGUACCUGAGGCACAGCCACAGCUGCAGCCAUGCCGGACCCUUUGGCCCACUGCACUGGGCCAGGGAUUGAACCCAUGCUUCUGCAGUGACUCAGGCCGCAGCAGUCAGAUUCUUAACCCGCUGCACCACAGCAAGAAUGCCUCAAUUUUCUUAUAUGCAACACUACCAUCCUUUUAGUCAGGCCUCUAUUGCUGCUUCAUGUCAAAGACUAAAACAGAGGCGAAAGUCACAAGUUCAAGCAACAUAGCUUGCCAUCAAAAGCCCUGAUACAAAAUGUGGCCUUCCUUGUUUUCAGCCUACUUAGCAAGGCCUGGGUGCCAUGAAACAUCAGUCCUGGCCUUGCCAUUAAUUGGCUGUGUGACAGGGACAAGUUACUUCAGUUCUCUGUGUUUCAGCUCUAAAGGCUUGGACCAGUAUCCUAAAAUCUGGAGCAUCCUAGGGCCCAGGGAAACCUGCACAGGCCUCAGAGAGAAGAUGAAUGGCUGCACACAGGUGUAAAGUUUGAUUGUUUCCAACAAGCCCUGUCUACUGGUAGUGAAGCCAGCUGAAGUAAUGGAAGCAUAAAUAAAAGACAGAGGAAUUCCCGUCGUGGCGCGGUCGUUAACAAAUCCAACUAGGAACCAUGAGGUUGCGGGUUCGAUCCCUGCCCUUGCUCAGUGGGUUAACGAUCCAGCAUUGCCAUGAGCUGUGGUGUAGGUCACAGACGCAGCUCGGAUCCCGCAUUGCUGUGGCUCUGGCGUCGGCUGGCAGCUGCAGCUCCGAUUCAACCCCUAGCCUGGGAACCUCCAUAUGCCA
This 7098-nucleotide long non-coding RNA is filed under the name Sus scrofa (pig). RNAcentral's name for it is "lncRNA (ENSSSCG00000053860.1)". The record is from RNAcentral. Lineage: Eukaryota; Metazoa; Chordata; Mammalia; Artiodactyla; Suidae.